UACGGAGGGUGCAAGCGUUGCUCGGAAUUAUUGGGCGUAAAGGGUAGGUAGGUGGUCUCAUUUGUCUGGGGUGAAAGCCUUGAGCUUAACUCAAGAAGUGCCCCAGAAACGGUGAGACUAGAGUCCUGGAGAGGGUCGUGGAAUUCCCGGUGUAGCGGUGAAAUGCGUAGAUAUCAGGAGGAACACCGGUGGCGAAGGCGGGUCUCUGGGCCGUAACUGACGCUGAGGAGCGAAAGCAUGGGGAGCGAACAGG
This 253-nucleotide ribosomal RNA is filed under the name uncultured bacterium. RNAcentral describes it as "partial 16S ribosomal RNA". It matches the Rfam family "Bacterial small subunit ribosomal RNA", at positions 524 to 776 of the family's 1533-position model. The record is from RNAcentral.